GUUUCCGUAGUAUAGUGGUUAGUACGGAGCUUUGUGGUUUGCACCCAAAGACCCUUCCAAAGUCAAUCAAUUCAGCUCAGACGCGUGUUCGAUUCACGCCGGGAACA
This is a non-coding RNA of Dioszegia hungarica, 107 nucleotides long. The record is from the annotation of a RefSeq genome assembly. NCBI's taxonomy places the organism in Eukaryota, Fungi, Basidiomycota, Tremellomycetes, Tremellales, Bulleribasidiaceae.